AGGGUUCGAUUCCGGAGAGGGAGCCUGAGAAACGGCUACCACAUCUAAGGAAGGCAGCAGGCGCGCAAAUUACCCAAUUCUAACAGUUUGAGAGAGGUAGUAACAAGAAAUAACAAUACAAGGCAAUUAAAAUGUUUUGUAAUUGGAAUGAUAGAAAUUUAAACCCUUUUUAAAGUAUCAAUUGGAGGGCAAGUCUGGUGCCAGCAGCCGCGGUAAUUCCAGCUCCAAUAGCGUAUAUUAAAAUUGUUGCAGUUAAAAAGCUCGUAGUUGAAGUUCUGCUAAAAGUAACCGGUCUGCUUUUAAUAAAAGUGGUAUCUUGGUGUGUAUUUAGCAAUGAUGUCCUUUGAAGUGUUUUUUACUUUAUUGUAAUAAAGCAUAUUCAGGACUUUUACUUUGAGAAAAUUAGAGUGUUUCUAGCAGGCCGACGCUUUGAAUACUGCAGAAGGAG
RNAcentral lists this ribosomal RNA (448 nucleotides) under Hepatozoon canis. Its description in RNAcentral is "bacterial SSU rRNA". It matches the Rfam family "Eukaryotic small subunit ribosomal RNA", at positions 372 to 813 of the family's 1831-position model. Lineage: Eukaryota; Apicomplexa; Hepatozoidae. The record is from RNAcentral.